This 125-nucleotide small RNA is filed under the name Marmota monax (woodchuck). The record is from RNAcentral. Lineage: Eukaryota; Metazoa; Chordata; Mammalia; Rodentia; Sciuridae.
GCUAGGCAUGGUGGUGCAUGCCUGUAAUCCCAGCAGCUCUGGAGGCUGAGAGAGAAGAAUUACAAGUUCAAAGCCAGCCUCAGUAAUGGCAAGGUGCUAAGCAACUCAGUGAGAUCCGGUCUCUA